RNAcentral lists this ribosomal RNA (497 nucleotides) under uncultured bacterium. RNAcentral describes it as "partial 16S ribosomal RNA". It matches the Rfam family "Bacterial small subunit ribosomal RNA", at positions 28 to 507 of the family's 1533-position model. The record is from RNAcentral.
GAUGAACGCUGGCGGCGUGCCUAAUACAUGCAAGUCGAGCGAACGGACGAGAAGCUUGCUUUUCUGAUGUUAGCGGCGGACGGGUGAGUAAAACGUGGAUAACCUACCUAUAAGACUGGGAUAACUUCGGGAAACCGGAGCUAAUACCGGAUAAUAUUUUUAACCGCAUGGUUCAAAAGUGAAAGACGGUCUUGCUGUCACUUAUAGAUGGAUCCGCGCUGCAUUAGCUAGUUGGUAAGGUAACGGCUUACCAAGGCAACGAUGCAUAGCCGACCUGAGAGGGUGAUCGGCCACACUGGAACUGAGACACGGUCCAGACUCCUACGGGAGGCAGCAGUAGGGAAUCUUCCGCAAUGGGCGAAAGCCUGACGGAGCAACGCCGCGUGAGUGAUGAAGGUCUUCGGAUCGUAAAACUCUGUUAUUAGGGAAGAACAUAUGUGUAAGUAACUGUGCACAUCUUGACGGUACCUAAUCAGAAAGCCACGGCUAACUACGUG